RNAcentral lists this long non-coding RNA (1306 nucleotides) under Capra hircus (goat). Its description in RNAcentral is "lncRNA (ENSCHIG00000005891.1)". The record is from RNAcentral. Lineage: Eukaryota; Metazoa; Chordata; Mammalia; Artiodactyla; Bovidae.
AAAAUGGAAUGUGAAAUAGGAGAGAGGUAUAUUGAAAUGUUCACAAGGUUCACUUCACCGAAAUGAAACUUUCCCUCUCGCAGAUGUCAAACCCUCCCCCCUUUUUCGUGCGUAAGUCCCCUCCCAUUUCCCAUCAAACUGUUGCUCCCUACAUUCUUGACGCAUCCUCUGAUGUCAUUCUAUUCUCUCAUCACUGUCACUUUGCCUCUCUUGCUUCUUAAUUUUCUUCCUUUUUCCUACUCCUCUCUUUCCUCUCCAUUAUUCCGUCACAAACACGCUCUUAGAGUUUCUCUCCUGCACACACACACACACACACACACACACACACACACAACCUUCUCAUUCAUUAGUAAUUAAUCUGAGAACCACAUCUCCUAUCCCCAGCAGCUGAAUAGAACUGUAGAAAUGCUCUCUUUGAAAAACACCCAGAGGUGACGCUGCCGGGGGCUGCAGGUGGGUUGUGGGCUGGGCCCUGCUGCGAUGCUCAGACCAGCCACCAGGGGGCAGAGGUGAGCGCCGACCGGCGAAUUCCACCGCCAGGCACGCCCGGGAUUGCCUGGGAGGCGGGCUCGGAGGGUCUCUGGUUCGGUGUCACCCAUCACUGCGGCUGUCAGCCCGCGUAAGAAUUCUGCCCGCGUCUCGGGCGAGCAGGCUGGGCCCAGCGAAUAAGCAAGCGAUUCCUAAUGAGUGCGGGCGGGGUGAAUUCCGCCUCGGGCCAGUACAGAUACCUCUUUUCCAGAAACAAAAGAGUGAGUCAUCCUGCCUCUGAUAAGGGAAGGAAAAGAGGCAGAGCUGGGCGAGUCCGCUGGGUCCCACCGCAGCCAUGCGUCUCCCCGGCGUUCCUGUUCGCUCCUCUCAGUCUGGGUCCCUGGGGUCCCGGCGCCCACAGGCGCUUCUCCUACUCCCCCUCUCCUGAUAGCUGGACCGGUCACCCGUGUCGCCAGGGGAAGAUGGAUUGGCAGCCUCAAAGGGCCAGCCCAGCGAGCAUCCCAGCCCUGCGGGCGCGGCUGUGAACCGUGAUAGUUCUGCGAACUGGACGGCAGGUGGCGGUAACGGCACCUGUCAACCUGCUGGCUCCUCCGGCUGGAAUUGGAGCUCUGUGGAUGUGUUUUUCAUAGGUCAGCCCCCAGACACACACACACACACACACACACACACACACAUUCCUGGUGCCCCACUGGCAUUCCACUCCUAAAAUAUUCUAAAAUGGGAGUAAUACCAUUAAUAAAAUAGUAAUAAUAAACAUUUAUUGAGAGCUAAAAGUGCCAGGCAUGAACUGUUUUUACAUAAACGGUAGUAAAAUAAU